CAGACCAAAAAGCCCAAAUUUGGGCAAAUCCACCCCAAAAAUCCCAGAGGAGGGGAGGAAUUCCUGCUGCACCUGUGCCAGCCUUAGGAAUAUCCAUAAAUAAAAUCCAUAAAUCCAUAUCCAGACAUCCCUGGGAAAAGCCAGGGAUUUUCCAUUUGGAGCUGAAAUGUGGAUAAUUAAUCAUUUCAAUAUUUUGGUGAAAAUUCCCUUUUUUUUCCCCCUCUAGAUCCCACCUUGGGGUCUCCUUUGCCUCAGGGAGAGCUGAAUCCCUCUGAUCCUGAUGCUGCUCACCCUGAAUUCCAGGGAAUUCCAGGGAAUUCAAUUCCAGGGAAUUAUUCCCUGCUCAGCACCAGCAGCAGGCAGAAACUGCUCCAAUAAAUUGUAUUUUUUUUUUAAUAUUAUUGUAUUUUAAUUUUUCCUCAUUUUUAUUUCCUUUUAUCUGGAUAAAUUUAAUGGGUUUUUCCUUCAAAUCCAAAUUUAAGAGAAACCUCACAAAGCGCAGCCCCCUCCCCUCGCUCUUAUUCCAGGGGAGGAAAAUCUCCAAAAUUCCUUGGGAAUUUGGGAAUUUUUGCUGCCGCGGUUCCCGGGUUUGGUUGGGAAUUCCCGGCCAGGAAAGAUCCAAAACUCUGCAGCGGCUCCUAGAGGAGCCUGAGCCCCGGAGGAGCCGCCAGGCUGGAAAACCCCGCCCAAAAUGGAAUUUUCUCCUCCCAAAAAGGAUUUUUCUCCUCCCAGGACGGAUUUUUCUUAUUUUUCUUCUCCCAAGAGAAAUUUCGUCCUCCCAGAAUGGAUUUUCCUUUUCCAGAUUUUCCUUGUCCCAGAAUUUUCCCCCUCCCAGGAUGGAUUUUCUCCCUUUAAAACAGAUUUUCCUUCUCCCUGAAUGGAUUUUCCCCCUCCCAAAAUGGAUUUUCCUCCUCUCAAACUGGAUUUUCCCCCUCCCAGGAUGGAUUUUCCUCCUCCCAGGAUGGAUUUUCUCCCCUUAAAACAGAUUUUCCUUCUCCCUGAAUGGAUUUUCCUCCUCUCAAACUGGAUUUUCCCCCUCCCAGGAUGAAUUUUCCUCCUGAAGGGCCCAGGCAUCGCUGAAGGCCCCGUUCCCUCAGGGAUGCACCAGCCCCUCCCUCAUUCCCAAGGAAAAACAACCACAAACUCCAAAAAAGCCAAAAACCAAAAAAAUCCAGAUCUUUUUAUUUCCUGGAGCUCCAGUGACACAACCAGAGCUGCAUUUCCCACCCGGAUCCUGCAUUGGGAAACAGGGAAGAAAACACUUAAAAAUAACAAUAAUAAUUUCAUUUUUGCCGAGGCAAAAAAUCCAAAUAAUACAAAAGGGAUUAAGAACUGGGAAAGUUCCUCAUCCUCCCUUGAAGAGCUCUGUGCGUUUGUGGCGGCCAAAGCAGCAGAAGUGGGGCAGAAACGGGGCCAAAAUCCGGAAUUUCAGCUCAGAACUGCAGCACAAAUUCCAAAGGCAAACCCGGGAGGGGUUUGGGGAGGGAAUUUCCCUGCAGAUGCAGCAGCAGCAGCUGGGAAAAUGCAAAUAUUCCUGCUGCAGGUGAAAAUUGGGAUUAUGAGAACUGGGCUGGUUUUGUGGGAUACCCAGGGUGAUCCAAGUGGAUUUUCCUCCUCUCAGAAUGGAUUUUCCUUUACCCAGAAUGGAUUUCCCUCAGAAUAAUUUUCCUUUUCCCAUAAAGGAUUUCCCUUCUCUUAAAAUUGAUUUUCCUUUUCCCAUAAAGGAUUUCCCUCCUCUUAAAAUUGAUUUUCCUUUUCCCAUAAAGGAUUUCUCUCCUCCCAGGAGGGAUUUUCCUCCUCCUAGGAUUUGCCCACUCCCAGCCUGAGGAGGAGCCAAUUCCCGACAGAUCCCGGCUGGUUUUUAUUUCAAUUUUGUUCCCAUUCCUCGGGAGGUUCCCAGGGAUCUCCCCCUCUCCCAGCAUCCCUAUCCAGGAUUUUUGUGUGUCCCUACUCCCAGGUUACUCCGAGGAGGAGCUGAGGUGCAACCAAGGCAGAAAUACCCCAGGAGCACCCGGAGGAAGAGGAGGAAGAGGAGGAAGAGGAGGAAGAGGAGGAAGAGGAGGAAUUCCAGAGGCUGCACCCAAAGCUGGAAUCACCCACAUUAUCCCACAUUUUCUCCCUUCAGCAUCACAUUCCCAAAAUUCCACCUCCACGGGAAUUUUCCGGGCAGUUCCGGCUCUGGGAGGGACUCUCCAGGUUCUCAAGGAAAAAAUUCCCAGCUCUGGGAGCUCCAAUCCCACCAAAUCCGGGAGGAUCCAGCGGGAUUUUCCCACUUUAAGGCACAGGGAUUCGCUCACAAAGACACAAAAAAAGGCAGCAAAAAGCUCAUUUCACACUGGGAUCCUCCCCACAAGGCACACGGGGCAUUCCAGAGGGAAUCCUGGAUUUUCCUGCUCCAAAAACUGCGGGAAAAGGAUGGAACGUGCUCAGUGUCACCCCAAAAAUCACCCCUGGCUGAGGGGGCAGCUCCAGGGCCACAUUCCAGCCCCAGGGAUCCCAAAAAUCCCCCCUUGGCUGCUGAUCUUCCAAGGAAGCAGGAAAACCAUGGAAUUCAUUGGGAAGGAUGGAAUUUAUCCCUGGAUUCAAACAGGAAUUCCUGGAACUGGAAUUUGCACAUCCAGGCUCCCAAAAAUCCCUCCUGAUGUCCCCAAGGAGCAGCUGGAGGACGGGAAUUGCUUUGGGAAAGCUGGAGCAGGACAGGCAGGGAGCCUCCCACCCUUCCCACUCAGCAUUCCAGGCAGGAAAACCAAACCCAGGGAAUGAGGAGCUCCUCCAGGUUGGGUUUUCCCUCUCCAGGUGGGAUUUUUGUCCCUCCAGGUGGGAUUUUUCCCCUCCAGGUGGGAUUUUUCCCUCUCCAGGUUGGGUUUUCCCCUCUCCAGGUUGGGUUUUUCCCCUCCAGGUGGGAUUUUUGUCCCUCCAGGUUGGGUUUUUCCCCUCUCCAGGUUGGAUUUUUGUCUCUCCUGGACAGGGAUGAGCAGCAGUCUCUUGCCAAGCCCAGCCUGGGAGGUGCCUUUGGAUCUGCACCGGGAUUUUCCCCAGGAUUUGGGGCUCCUUUGGAGCUGCCAGGAUCUCUGUAAACAGCAGCUCCAGGACCUCCCUUUCCCGGGAGCAGAGCAGCUCCAGGCACCCCUGGGAUCCCAGGAGAGGUCCUGGGAUGGGAUCAGAUCCCUGGCAUGGGAUCAGAUCCCUGGGAUGGGAUCAGAUCCCUGGCAUGGGAUCAGAUCCCUGGCAUGGGAUCAGAUCCAUGGGAUGGGAUCAGAUCCCUGGCAUGGGAUCAGAUCCCUGGCAUGGGAUCAGAUCCAUGGGAUGGGAUCAGAUCCCUGGGAUGGGAUCACAUCCCUGGCAUGGGAUCAGAUCCCUGGCAUGGGAUCAGCCCUCCAGGGAGGAAAAAGUGGGAAUGAACUCCGGGAGGGUGAAGGCUGCUCUGCUGUCACACCCCAUUAAAAUGUACCUUUAAUGAGUUUAAAUUGCAAAAUAAAAUUGGUUAAAAAUCUACACCUUCAAGAGUGGAAAAAAACAGGAUUGAGUUUUCCCUCCUCUCCCCCACAAAGGGAUUUUGGGAUCGUUUUCCCAAAGUGUUGUCCCCACUCCGUGUCCCCUCAAGGGGCUCCCACGUACCUUGACACCCAGAGGAGAACCCUUUAAUUGCCCCCUGGGUAAUUAAAGCCAAUCUGGCCAUAAAAUCAAUGAUUUUGGGUCUUCCUUACACAGGAGGCAAGACCUGAGCCCUUUUUUAAACAGCUUUGCACCCAGCUGUAAAAGCAUUUAAAAACCCACUCGACUGCCUACAUAGAAAAAUAAAGGAUAAACAUUAUCCAGCUAUUUUAUAUUUAUAUAAAAAUUAACUUCUGUGCCAGGACAUUUUUGUUUCUUUGCUGCAAAAAUAAAAUAAUAAAAAUUGAAAAAAAAUCCCAAAAAGCAGCUUAGGUUGGAUCACCUAAACCUUCAACAAGGAGUGAACUCCAGCUUGCAUCUUAUUUCCCAGAAAAGGAGCAGUUUGCAAGUUCACUGCUGCAAAAUAAAGUUAUUAAAUAUAUAUAUAUAUUAAUAUAAAAGUCUGUAUAAACUCUUCUUUUCGUUGGUGUUGUUUAAGGAAGGGAAGGGGGCACUGAGUGACCGGGAAUUCCAUGGGGACACUCAGUGACAGGAAUCCCUGGGGACACUCAGUGACAGCAAUCCCAGGGCUCAGAGUGACCAGGAAUCCCUGGGCUCAGAGUGACCCUGGGGACACUCAGUGACAGCAAUCCCUGGGGACACGCAGUGACAGCAAUCCCCUGGGGACACUCAGUGACCGGGAAUCCCUUGGGGACACACAGUGACAGCAAUCCCUGAGGGACACACAGUGACAGCAAUCCCUGGGGAUACUCAGUGACCAGAAAUCCCAGGGCUCAGAGUGACCCUGGGGACAUGCAGUGACAGCAAUCCCUGGGGACACUCAAUGACCAGAAAUCUUGGGGAUAGUCACUGACAGGAAUCCCAGGGCUCAGAGUGACCCUGGGGACACUCGGUGACAGCAAUCCCAGGGGACACUCAGUGACAGCAAUCCCAGGGCUCAGAGUGACCAGAAAUCUUGGGGACACGCAGUGACAGCAAUCCCUGGGGACACUCAGUGACCAUGAAUCCCUUAAGGACACUGAGUGACAGCAGUCCCAGGGGACACUCGGUGACAGCAGUCCCUGGGGACAGCAGUGAC
This is a long non-coding RNA of Prinia subflava (tawny-flanked prinia), 4693 nucleotides long. RefSeq lists it as uncharacterized. The record is from RefSeq and is a predicted model, not a curated record. NCBI's taxonomy places the organism in Eukaryota, Metazoa, Chordata, Aves, Passeriformes, Cisticolidae. The transcript is spliced from 2 exons.